RNAcentral lists this long non-coding RNA (1885 nucleotides) under Accipiter nisus (Eurasian sparrowhawk). RNAcentral's name for it is "lncRNA (ENSANIG00000017252.1)". Lineage: Eukaryota; Metazoa; Chordata; Aves; Accipitriformes; Accipitridae. The record is from RNAcentral.
GGUAAUGUCAUCAUCAUACAUUUGCAUAAGCAGGAUGUUUUAUGCAUUGUUUUUCUUUGAGCAGGUACCUCCUCAUUUGUGUGCACUUGCUGAUGUGCUCUCAACCUGCCACAGGCUUCCCCAAAGCUAGUGUCUGUGAAUGCUUCUCAGAUAAUAAUUAGGAGUAUUCACCUCCUCUACAUCCUUUUUCCAACAAAGACUUGAAAAAUGCAACCUUAUUUUUAUUUUUUUUCCCAGUUUUAUCUCUUUUCUUCUUUGUUCAGGUACUGGCUGCAUGGAGGGCAGGUGCCUUUUAUCAAAAGACAAAGAGUCGUCUUCUCCUUCAGAAAUGUUUAUGUGCCUUCCACAACACCAAAUUGAGGAAAUAGAUUACCUCUCAGAAAGCCAUCUGUUUCAGCAUCCUGUGAACUCUCAGAACAUAUUACUCUACCACAACAGUCUAUUUGCGACAGUUUGCUCUCAUCUUCCUGCAACCCAUCUUACAAAUGAGACAUAAAAUUGAGGCUCUGGAUUCUGACGGACCCAAUCCUGCAACAUUUAUGCACCUGUUUAAGCUGAAUCAUGUGAGGAUUCAUGGUAAAUGGAAUGUACAGAAUGACUAACACUUGAGGAACUACGGCAAUCGCUCCAGAGCGGUUUGCAGUUCUUCAGGAUAAUGAGCAAUGCAUGAAACUAGGGUGCAUUAUCUCCUCCUCCCCAAAUCUGGCCAGGAUGCUGUAAAGGAUGGACUUGGAGCAAGUGCAGAGUAAAAUGUCCUCUCCUGCACUCAGUAUGUAUUAUAUUCAAUUCUUUCUAUCACUGUGGUAAGACUCCUGAUCGUGCAGAGUUUAACCCUCAGCAAUGCAACAAGAGGUCUAGGUUUUCAUUGCAGAGUCGCACUUGCUGAUGUUAUACAGCCUCACUAAUUGAUUACAAAAUAAUUCAGCAAGCUGCACUGUUCCUGUGUCUUCUAUAUAGCUUGCUGCCUCCUCAUUCAACACUGGCUGUACUUCAAGGUCCCGGUCCCCCCGUUUGAAGCCUGAUCAACUGAGGAACGACCGUUCUCUCCGACCUACAUCUUUCAGAGGAAUAAAGCAACAGAUGACACCAAGUAGAGGAUUCACAGAGCUCUUUGUGCAAGCCGCUAGCAGUGGAGCUCUCCAGUGAAGGGCACCAAGCUUAACUCUCAGCUCACCCUGCAAGGAGGGGUUUUCUUCAUUUCAGUUAAUAGCAGCAUUUCCAUCGACUUAGGCAGGAGCAGAGUCAAAUCCCAACAUGUCUUUUAAGACAAGCUACUCCUCAGCAGAAGCAGCAUCUCAGCAGAUAGGACGUCCCUGCCCCUGAGAGAGUCCUCAUCCAGAGAAACCGACUCCCACCACACACUGAAGAAUCCCCCCACUUACUGCUCAGUCUCCAUCGAGAUUUCUGUUCUUGCACAUUGCCACCGUGAUUGGCAACUGAAACGGAAGGAUCAGACAAAAGAACCUGAAACACCACCUGGGAUGGAACUGAAAAAGAUGCGGGAGCAGAUAUCUCCAUCUGUAUUCUCCAGUAAGAGGGGAAGCCAGCUGUGGUGUGGUAGUCCCGAACCACAGGGGACUGAUGCUCUGCCCUGCUGCAUCUCGGGAAACCCCAAUGUCAGUCCCCGCACCAGCAAGGUCGCCUCAAAGCCUGUUUCCUCAUCCUCAGGCCAGUCACACUGCUGUGAAACUCCAGAAUAGGGUGAGUAAAAGGAGUCCAAGAACAAUAAAACGGAAGGAAAAUGAGGCUUUUCUCAGAUUUAUGCAGAAGGUAAAUUAUGGGGCUACUUACACCACCUAAAAUCACCUUCUCCCUAGGGGCCUUGAAUAUGCUCUAUUAUAAAAGCUGUAUACUGGACUGUGAAUUUGCCAUAUAUACUACAGUG